RNAcentral lists this unclassified non-coding RNA (1600 nucleotides) under Hevea brasiliensis (rubber tree). The record is from RNAcentral. Lineage: Eukaryota; Viridiplantae; Streptophyta; Magnoliopsida; Malpighiales; Euphorbiaceae.
AUAGACCAUACCAGAAUCAGUUACAAGUAGAGGUUUUCACCAAGUUCUUUCCAUAUACAAGUACCUGUGGCAAUAUAAGCUAAACUAUCUUCACAUCACCCAUUUUAUCAAAGGAAAGAUACAAAGUUCUUUUUUACAACUGAUCCACACAACAUUCAGACUCCUUAGCUCAUAGUUUCUAGAAUCCAAAAGUACGUCACAAGAUUAACUAUUGCUGACUAGUUUGUCUGGUUGUAGUCAUAAUCACCUACUGUGCUUUCAGUAAAUUUAAUCAUUAAUCCUUGAAGCAGAUAUGAACUUGUGUAGGCUGUUGGUCCUCUAUUACAAUAAGAAAAAAGAAACUAAUGUUGUUCCCAACAACCAUUGCAGCUUUGGUUGGUAACACAAAUUUGAAAAGCUUGUUUCAUUUUUAGCUGCAGCAGCUGGUGUUUUUGGAGAAAUGCUUGGUUCAGGCAGAUCACAUGCUCCAAAAGUCAUAUUCUCCUUGCAGGAAACAAUGUUUGCACACCCGCACACUAGAUGUCCAUUUGCCAAGUCUACAGCCUCAGGGGCUCCACCUCCAUCACUUCUCCUGUAAAAAUCUACAGCGAUGAAGUUAGGCCACCUUUUACCAGCGGCUUCAUGACAUGUGUUCAUCAUGUCAAUGAGUGGGGCUGAAUUAUGCUUGCAAGCUUGAGCAAAAUCUGGGGCAUCAGUAAAGUAAUUCAUAAGGACUAACGACUUUGACUUAGUGUUCAUAGCAGAUGAUUCUGCACGAUUUGGACAAGAACCAGGUUUCAUGCCACCAUUUCCAUAUUGGUUUUCUACCAAGUAUCUCCACUCAUAGGCAAUGCCUUCUGAAGAUUCUUUGGCAGACUUAGAUGUGAAGACAACCAAUCUCUGAUUGUGCUGAAUCAUAUCAUCUACAGUUGGCCAUUCUCCACCAUUUUUAGGCAUCCGAGAAACUGGAAACCAGAAUUUUCUUAGGCCAGCCGCAUCAAACACCUUGUUUAGGCCAUUCGGCGAUGUAACAUAAUCCUCAAUUAUAAUUGUAACAAUUUCUGAUGGGUUUGCUUCAAGAAACACUCCUAUCUCCCUCAAGACAUUGAUUGCAGUUUGAAAAGCUGUAUAAUUGUAACAUUUUGCUCCAAAUGAGUGACAUAGCCAGAUGUCAUUGUCGAAGUCAUACAUAUCAAGCAUUAGACCUCUUACACCAUUAUUUAGCUGUUCGGUGAUGGUAUCCUGCUGAUUCAUUGGAGCUAAUAUUACACCUCCUGUCCCAGACUUGGCUUUCAGUUUUGCAAAAGAAUUGUGCGUCGUCAGCCAAGAGUAUCGAUUAAACGGCAAUCCUUUCACCUUCGAAAGAGGAUUGACCGGUUGAAGUCGAGUACAACGCGGACGGACAUUGCCAUUUGCGAGGCAAGUCUCACAAUGUAACCCUGCAUCACAACUUCCAUUGGCUACACAACUUUGUCCUUCCUUAAGAGCUUCACAACAAGCAAACAGAAGAGUAACCGCAACAAACAGAGUAACCGUAAACUUAAAAUUCAUAACGAGAUUCAAGCUCUUCAUCAAUGGCGUCGAUGGAAGAAUCAGUUGGCCAUUUUGAAGGGAAACUGCG